AUCUCAAUUCACCAAUCUCUACCUAUUUAAUUAAAAUACCUUUUACUAAAUACAAACAUUUCCAUUUACUUUUUAUAAAUAUUUUAUGUUUUAUCAUUACACCAUAAUGAAACACCACAAAACCCAUAAACAAUCCCCCCCACACACUUUUCAAUGGCCUCUCCCAGAGACUAUAUAUGGUGUCUGGACCCCCAGGGCAAUAUUUGUCCAAACACCCUGGAGAGGACACAGAAAAGACAGGCAACCACCUCACUCGUCAAUGAGGAGCAGCUGUGCAGAGCCCAGAACAAAAGGCUACAUGCUAAUCUCUAAAAAUACUCAAUAAAUACAAUUAAAACUU
Long non-coding RNA from Xiphophorus hellerii (green swordtail), 340 nucleotides. RefSeq lists it as uncharacterized. NCBI's taxonomy places the organism in Eukaryota, Metazoa, Chordata, Actinopteri, Cyprinodontiformes, Poeciliidae. The transcript has 2 exons. The record is from RefSeq and is a predicted model, not a curated record.